RNAcentral lists this ribosomal RNA (499 nucleotides) under uncultured bacterium. RNAcentral's name for it is "partial 16S ribosomal RNA". It matches the Rfam family "Bacterial small subunit ribosomal RNA", at positions 28 to 507 of the family's 1533-position model. The record is from RNAcentral.
GACGAACGCUGGCGGCGUGCCUAAUACAUGCAAGUCGAGCGAAGUUUUUCUGGUGCUUGCACUAGAAAAACUUAGCGGCGAACGGGUGAGUAACACGUAAAGAACCUGCCUCAUAGACUGGGACAACUAUUGGAAACGAUAGCUAAUACCGGAUAACAGUAUUUCUCGCAUGAGAGAUAUUUAAAAGUUGGUUAUGCUAACACUAUGAGAUGGCUUUGCGGUGCAUUAGCUAGUUGGUGGGGUAAAGGCCCACCAAGGCGACGAUGCAUAGCCGACCUGAGAGGGUGAUCGGCCACACUGGGACUGAGACACGGCCCAGACUCCUACGGGAGGCAGCAGUAGGGAAUCUUCCGCAAUGGGCGAAAGCCUGACGGAGCAACGCCGCGUGAGUGAAGAAGGAUUUCGGUUCGUAAAGCUCUGUUGUUAGGGAAGAAUGGAUAUGUAGUAACUAUACAUGUAAGAAACGGUACCUAACCAGAAAGCCACGGCUAACUACGUG